GUGCUCACUUCAGCAGCACAUAUACUAAAAUUGGAACGACACAGAGAAGAUUAGCAUGUCCCCAGAACAAGGACGACAUGCAAAUUAGUGAAGCAUUGCAUAUUUUU
Suricata suricatta (meerkat) is the source of this 107-nucleotide small nuclear RNA. NCBI's taxonomy places the organism in Eukaryota, Metazoa, Chordata, Mammalia, Carnivora, Herpestidae. The record is from Ensembl.